CCUUGAACUCACCCUGGUUUGUUUACAUGUAUAACUUUCUCCGACUUUCUCAGACGUGAUUUAUGCCACUUCUUUUUCUGUCUGACUUCGUCCACCAAACUUAUAACUUUGCGCAUGAAUGCACAAAGGCUUCACCACACGUCUGCAUUUGGAUGACUGCAGAGAGCCCUGAAAUGGUGCCGUCGCACAUACUUGCCAACCUUGAGACCUCCGAUUUCGGUCAGGCAUCUAUUUGUGGUGGCGUUGUCGGGCGGCGGCGGCGAUGACCAAGAAGAACGGGGAGUUGGAAUAUAAUUUCAACGCUUUAUGUACAUAUUUAUAUACAUAUUUAUAUAAUAUGUAACUACAAGCUCCA
This is a long non-coding RNA of Nerophis ophidion (straightnose pipefish), 355 nucleotides long. RefSeq lists it as uncharacterized. The record is from RefSeq and is a predicted model, not a curated record. Lineage: Eukaryota; Metazoa; Chordata; Actinopteri; Syngnathiformes; Syngnathidae. The transcript has 3 exons.